This is a long non-coding RNA of Gallus gallus (chicken), 4591 nucleotides long. RefSeq lists it as uncharacterized. The record is from RefSeq and is a predicted model, not a curated record. Lineage: Eukaryota; Metazoa; Chordata; Aves; Galliformes; Phasianidae. The transcript is spliced from 3 exons.
GGCGUGGCGGGCGCGGGCGGAAAAUGGCGGCGGGCACUGGGGAUCCUUCAAGAGCAGGCCGCGACCGGAGAGAACGUGGGGGUCUGGCCUUGGCUGGCAGGCGUGGCUACACUGCCAGUGUAACCAUAACCCUGUCCCUGGACCUGGGGAUCCUGACAGGCAGUGCAUUAAGAAUGCAGGGAGGGGUGGGCAGGACUGCUUUGGUGUGUGUGUUGUUCCUCCAUUUCAAGAGGCCAGAACACAAAGGUACCCGGUGAGGUGAGGUGCAGCUCUUUUACCUUGUCCUACCACACUGCCAGUCGAACUGCCUACAGUCUGAGGGGGAAAAUGCUGUUGAGGAACCGUGGAUAGAGAAAAAUAUCACAGUGAGAAACUGCCCAGAAUUACAUCUUGGCAGCUUGAGAUCAUUUGUCUUUGGAGAGACAGACCACAGCUGUAUGUACUUGCAUGAGAGUAGGCUGCCAAUUUCAGAACAUUAUCCACUUGGUGUAAGCAGAAAUAGGAGCUCAGGUAAGCUGCUAGAUGUAUUGCUGAGUGGUUGGAAGACUCUUGCUGUGAAAGAAAAGAAAAAGAAAAAGAAAGAAAGAAAAGAAAAGAUAAUAGAAGCUGUAUCUUGGUUAAAAUACAGAGGCUGCUGUUCGAAGCAUAGGUCUGGCAGAAGCCAGUGGCAAGGCCUCCAUUUAUGUUACUGGAUCAGGAUUUCAUCUGUAGAUUGUAGAGUGCAAAUGAGGGGUCAAUGAACAACAGUAGCAGAAAUGGCAGUAAAAUUAUUGUGGUAAGGUGGAAUACAUCUCUCAGUGUUUUACAUGGAGGAAAAAAAUUAUAAACCUACAGUAUAAACUUAGUGAGAAAGUUAAAAUGGUUACGAAUUGGUUACAUGCUCCGAAGAAGAGCUGAAAGAUAAAAUCAUGGGAAGUGAUUAGAGUAUGACCUGGGGAAUGGUCAUUAGGAGUACCACUCUCCCAAAGAAAGCUGACAGCUGUUCCACGUUAUGGACCACAGCUGGUUCACAGUGUGGACUCCUGAGGGUAGAGAUGCCUCACAAAUUAUUUGUCAGAGCAAAACAGCAUAGUUCAAACUCCCAGAGGAUUUCUGGAUACAGUUAUAUAACAAUGCCAAAGUCCAUGGAACCGAUUGCUCAAGUCAGCUGUAACCUUGGCUGAUGACUGGCUGCUUUGUAUACUCUGGAAAUUCUACCUUGCAAACAUGCGUAGACUUCAUGUCUACCAAGAGCAGCCCCUCAGUUCCUCCAGUCUGUAGCAACAACAUCAAGGCACUAAUUCCUACCCUGCAUACAUUAAGAAUUUUAUUUGUGAGCCCGCAAUAAUAUUUUUUUCUCUGGUAUGAAACAGCACCUCGUUGGGUGCUAUGAACAAUUGAUUAAUAGUAACAUUAUCAUUUUUCCUUUUGUUUGUUUUUCAGCUGAGAAGUUUAAUGCCAAUACAAGCCAAAGUUAGCAAGGGAAGCUUUGUGUGUGUGUGUGUGUGUGUGCACUUAAUGAGCAUUUCAACUUUCUAAAUCAUAUUUUUAGAGGAUUCUUUCUCUGCAGGGUUGUGACUAGAAGAAAUCAAUGAUGGAUAGAUGAAGAAAUCUCUCUUAUAUCCUGUGUUCCACAGAUAGGUGGGAAUUGUGAUCUAUGGGCAAUUCGUGGAUUUUUUUAAUUGCUACAGGGGUUGAAUCAAAAAAUAAUGGGCCUGGUGAAGGUAGUCAGGACAGCAGGCCUAUGAAAUUAGGGAGCAGGCAAGCAGUGAAUGUGAAUUUCACUGAAUGAAUUUCAUACCACAAAGCUUGGUAGACAGUGCCCUCUUUGUUCCACGAAGAAGAAUGCAUCUCUCUGCUAUUGCUAUUUUGCUAUUGCAAGAAGUAAGCCAAAUCCUGGCUUAGAAGUGUAUUGAAAAGAUUCCAGCAGUUCAUCUUGGACUGCAUAAUCUUCAUGUGUUUGGAAAGCCUUUGCAAGGCAGGGUUCCUCCAGCCCAAGGUGGAGGCUGUCACAAAUAUUUGAGUAUAGGCUCUUGCAUUAUUGCAGAAGCAUGAAAAUGAACACGCAAGCCUUUGCAAGCAGAAAUAAAGAGAGGCUUUGAUCGUCUUUAAAAGUCUCUUAAGGAGCCAAAUGCAAGGAUCCAAUGAGAUCCUCAUUUAUAUUCCCUGUGCCUCUACGCAAGUUCAGCCUGGCUCUUCAUAAAUUGGAACCUUCUCUCCUCUCCUUAUUUUGGAAGCAACAAGGAGAUGGGUCUUUUCAGGUGCACUCAUUGCACCAGAAUGAUGAGAGCUUUCAUGUUUGAAAGGUACGCAAAACACAGGGAUGCCAGGAGCAAAGAGCAGUUUUCAUGCUGCAGGGAAAUAUAAAGCUUAGAGACAAACCUGCAUGGGAAGGACCCAAAUGUAGGGGAUAGCACAGUAGAGUGGAAAUGCACGUGACUGACCGGCUGCACGCAGCAUCUGGAGAUGCUGCUGCUGCUGUGCCUGGCACACACACACAGGUGCUGUAGAGGCUCACAGCUCCUCGCAGUUCCUGGAACUGGAGGAAGAGGCAGCCAGGACUAGCAAAGAAAACACAAACUGAAUAAUCAGGAAAAGAAGAUAAACUGUGCUGAGUGGCAGCUGGUCUUUAGAGAACAGGUUGUGUAAAUACCCCAAGGGCCUUGUGCAUCAUUCCUGGGAAGCUAUUCCCCAGAGAGAGACUCAGUUGGAUCACUGCAGCACUCCACACUGGAGGUAUGUUUACUUCUGCACAGCCUGUGUUUCCUGCAAAAACAUUCCUCCUCUCGUAACCAAUAUAUGCUGACCUUUCAACAAGCAAUGUUUCCCUUGUGUGUCUACAAUACAUCUGUCUGUACCAGGAAAAGCCUUCAAAUAAAUUAUUUAUUGCUUACCCUCUUCCAGGCACAGAAGACAGAGGUGCAGUCUAGUCCUACUUUUCCCAGCGUCCAGCUGGGAGACCAGCCACCAGCUGACAGGAUACUUGACACUGUUUUUCAUGCGUAGGUGACAGUUACUGUCUCUACCUAUGUGUUCUCAUCCUGGACGUAGCCUGUAGGAAAAAGUUGGCUGCCGUAAUUUUCAGCAUCAUAUACACUGACAGCCCUGUACUGUUACCUGUGUGGUGUCAGUAGCCAGGACUUCUGAAAGAGGAAAGCAACUUGCCGUCCCAUUGAAGUUUCUGUGCCUGCUGUUGAUGUUUCUCUGUCUGUCAUUGUGCAAACCAUCAUUCAAGGAAUAAUUUACAAAUGGCAUCACCAGUUUGCCCUUUUAAUUUACCCUUAGGCCCAUUCUGUGUCUUCUGUAUUUGUUUCUUUUCCUUUUUGCCACAUGCUGUGCUUCCCUCUUCUCUCUCUCUGUCCCUCUCCCAGAUCUCCAGUGACAUGCCUAGCUAUGUUUGUUCCCUGUAAUUCAAUUGUACUAGUGGACUUGCAAGUGCUGGAGGCAUACAGCAGUUUUGGCUCUGGCUUUUGAACGUGAUUUCCAAUGAUCUUGGAAAAAGAACUGACUCCAGACGGGAACUGUGGGUUUACUCACAGGCUUGUGCAGAGACCCCAUGGAAUAGGUUAGGCCAGAGGAGAGGAAAAGCUGAAAUUAUUUGCUAUUAAAUAGGUUUUUUUCAUAGAAUUUGAGGUUUGGAUCAGAACACCAGUGCUGUCAAGGCAGCACUUCUGUGCCUUCCUGUUCUGCUCAGCACUUGGGCUGUCACUGUUGCAGCAGGGAGACAUUUGGUCCAGCACCAAUCAAAUCUUCAUGCUCUCUUCCACUAUCCCUAGACUGCAUUUCCCAGCCUCCUUUUCCCCACUUUUCAUACUUGUCAUCACCCAAUAUCUGGCUCAGCAAAGAAUCUGUUUAAUAGAAAAUAUUUGGUUUCUUAUUUACUCUGGGAAAUUAAUAAAUAAGAAACCCUGUACAGUCUACACCAAUGGCUUUGCUUAUAUACUACAUUGCUGUAGGCACUUCGUGCUGUGUGACACGAAGUCUCUGCUCUAGGAAACUGACAGUUAUGGUUUAGAAAUGACAACUGGCAAGAGACUACAAGGAAGAAGAGAGACAACGUGCUCUGUGGGCAGGGAUCAGGCCUCUCUCCAAAGCACACACAUUAGUUGAUGUGUUUAUUUCAUGCAGGGGAAAGGAACUGGGGAUUAACUGUUGUCUUUACUCUGCAAAUGAGAGGCAGAGGCACUACAGACAAAUCAGAGACUGUAAAACGAGUGUAAAGAAAGAAUUUGGACAUUUGGGAAAGAGGUGAAAGGGACUCAUUCAUGGUGACUCCUGAAGUUAUUGUUUUCCUCCUUAGUUCCCAAUCUAAUAUCCAUACCGCAUCAGUUAAGGAUCUGAGUCAUCCUUUUGUUAUUUAUUGCCUUAUAUGGUGGUGCCUUCAAGCUCUAAAUGAGAACAGAUAAUUAUUUGUAUUGACCGAAGAACACAGGAACUCCUUCUGCAGAUCAGAAUCUAAUUGAAUGAGGGUUGCUCCGAAAGUAAUGCCUCCUACAAGAUUAUGUUAGCCAUUGCCGUCAGAGACAGAUGUUGGUAGAAUGGCUGUAGAAGUUGAACCUUCUCACCAAUAUUCCCUUACAUUUUGUUGCCGUGUGACAGAUGGCAGCAGAAG